Long non-coding RNA from Peromyscus californicus insignis, 833 nucleotides. RefSeq lists it as uncharacterized. The record is from RefSeq and is a predicted model, not a curated record. Lineage: Eukaryota; Metazoa; Chordata; Mammalia; Rodentia; Cricetidae. The transcript has 5 exons.
CUUUGGAAGAGGAGAAAGGAGCAUGCCGACCCCCCCAACAACACCACCACCUCUCUCGGGCCAAGCCUGGAGAGGCCAGUCUGGGGAGCUGGGACCCUAACCACUAUCUUCAAAAACAGUGGAGGAGGUACAGCCGCUGCGGUUUAUGGCCCUUGGGUCCUUUGGGGAUAGAGGUGAGGACCAUCUGCCGUCAGUGGUCCCCACCUGUCCAGUUAAACAGGACCAGAAGGAACUGAACGGAAGGCUUAUAGGUGUCCAGGCUCCUGUUUUCUCUCUCCCGGAACCAGCAAUGCAUGGUGUUUACACUGGGCUCUCCCUGCCCAGAACAAACUGCUAGCUAAGAUAAAUCACUGUCAGCACUGGGGAAAGUCCAGCCUUGAUUUCUAAAUCGACUUCCUCCUCACUUUCUCCUGACGGGUUGACUGGGAUCCUUAGGUAAACUCCAGCUGAAUGAGUCACCCACAGGUUCCAGACCACAGACUGUGGAGGUGACAGAAGUCAUUUGCCAAGCCCUUUAUCAGGGUUUCACCAUGUAUCCUCUGGCUGGCCAGGAAUUCACUAUGUAACCCAGUGUAGACUGGAACUCACAGAGAUCUGCCUGCUUCUGCCUUCUGAGUGCUGAAAUUAAAGGUGCUUGCAGAGACCAGAGGAGUCGGAUCCCCUGGAGCUGGAGUUAUAGGUGGUUGUGAGCUGCCUGAUGUGGAUGUUGAGUGCUGGGAACUGAACUCAAGUCUUCUGGAAAAGCAGUAUGUGCUGUUAAGCUCUGAACCCUCUCUCCAGCCUCCUUGUAGUCUUUAUAUAUUCUAGAUACUAGACCCUCCUAAGACCCAUGG